This 357-nucleotide ribosomal RNA is filed under the name Triticum aestivum (bread wheat). RNAcentral's name for it is "partial small subunit ribosomal RNA". The record is from RNAcentral. Lineage: Eukaryota; Viridiplantae; Streptophyta; Magnoliopsida; Poales; Poaceae.
AUGGCCAGGUAUUUCUAGAACAGUAAAAUCGAUAGGCGUUCGAUGCAUUGGCUUUCUUGGAAGAAAUUAGCCACCCCGAAAGAAGCAGGGGGGAUGGGGUUUCGGGAUCUCAAGGCUUUUAACCUUGCUCUGUUGGGAAAGCAUGGCUGGAGGUUUCUGUUACACCCUGAGAGUUUGUGCUCUCGAGUUAUGAAGACUAGAUACUUCCCAGAUUCAGACUUAAUGGUUGCCACAAUCCCGAACACGACAUCACCUAUCUGGAGAGCGAUUGUUGCCUGCCGCAAUGCCUUGAAGCUUGGUUUGAUCAAGAGGGUGGGAGAUGGUUCCACGAUCUCCAUCUGGGAGGACAAGUGGAUC